GACGAACGCUGGCGGCGUGCCUAAUACAUGCAAGUAGAACGCUGAAGCGAGGAGCUUGCUCUUCUUGGAUGAGUUGCGAACGGGUGAGUAACGCGUAGGUAACCUGCCUUGUAGCGGGGGAUAACUAUUGGAAACGAUAGCUAAUACCGCACAACAAUGGAUGACACAUGUCUUUUAUUUGAAAGGGGCAAUUGCUCCACUACAAGAUGGACCUGCGUUGUAUUAGCUAGUAGGGGAGGUAAUGGCUCACCUAGGCGACGAUACAUAGCCGACCUGAGAGGGUGAUCGGCCACACUGGGACUGAGACACGGCCCAGACUCCUACGGGAGGCAGCAGGAGGGGAUCUUCGGCAAUGGGGGCAACCCUGACCGAGGAACGCCGCGUGAGUGAAGAAGGUUUUCGGAUCGUAAAGAUCUGUUGUAAGUCAAGAACGGGUGUGAGAGUGGAAAGUUCACACUGUGACGGUAGCUUACCAGAAAGGGACGGCUAACUACGUG
Molecule: ribosomal RNA, 497 nt
Filed under: uncultured bacterium
Lineage: Bacteria
Description: partial 16S ribosomal RNA
Rfam family: Bacterial small subunit ribosomal RNA
Source: RNAcentral